RNAcentral lists this ribosomal RNA (398 nucleotides) under bacterium enrichment culture clone ALO1_GLFRUDD03GFU3Y. RNAcentral describes it as "bacterial SSU rRNA". It matches the Rfam family "Bacterial small subunit ribosomal RNA", at positions 9 to 406 of the family's 1533-position model. The record is from RNAcentral.
GAGUUUGAUCCUGGCUCAGGACGAACGCUGGCGGCGUGCCUAACACAUGCAAGUCGAACGGCAGCACGGGAGCUUGCUCCUGGUGGCGAGUGGCGAACGGGUGAGUAAUGCAUCGGGACGUAUCCUGGAGUGGGGGAUAACGUAGCGAAAGUUACGCUAAUACCGCAUAUUCUGUGAGCAGGAAAGCGGGGGACCUUCGGGCCUCGCGCUCUUGGAGCGGCCGAUGUCGGAUUAGCUAGUUGGUGAGGUAAAGGCUCACCAAGGCGACGAUCCGUAGCAGGUCUGAGAGGAUGAUCUGCCACACUGGAACUGAGACACGGUCCAGACUCCUACGGGAGGCAGCAGUGGGGAAUUUUUGGACAAUGGGGGCAACCCUGAUCCAGCCAUGCCGCGUGAGU